UACCCGCGUAGUCCUAGCCGUAAACGAUACUCGCUAGGUGUCGGCCACGGUGCGACCGUUGUCGGUGCCGUAGGGAAGCCGUGAAGCGAGCCACCGUGGGAAGUACGGCCGCAAGGCUAGAAACUUAAAGGAAUUGGCGGGGGAGCACCACAACGGGUGGAGCUUGCGGUUUAAUUGGAUUCAACGCCGGAAAUCUUACCGGGACCGACAGCAACAUGAAGGCCAGGCUGAAGACUUUGCCGGAUUAGCUG
This 251-nucleotide ribosomal RNA is filed under the name uncultured archaeon. Its description in RNAcentral is "partial 16S ribosomal RNA". It matches the Rfam family "Archaeal small subunit ribosomal RNA", at positions 734 to 982 of the family's 1478-position model. The record is from RNAcentral.